CCUGGUGUCUCAGUGGUAAAGAAUCUGCCUACAAUGCAGGAGACCCAGGUUCGAUUCCUGGGUCAGGA
This 68-nucleotide transfer RNA is filed under the name Ovis aries (sheep). It matches the Rfam family "tRNA". From Rfam's summary of the family: Transfer RNA (tRNA) molecules are approximately 80 nucleotides in length. Lineage: Eukaryota; Metazoa; Chordata; Mammalia; Artiodactyla; Bovidae. The record is from Rfam by way of RNAcentral.